CCUACGGGUGGCAGCAGUGAGGAAUAUUGGUCAAUGGACGCAAGUCUGAACCAGCCAUGCCGCGUGCAGGAAGACGGCCCUAUGAGUUGUAAACUGCUUUUGUACGAGGGUAAACGCAGAUACGCGUAUCUGUCUGAAAGUAUCGUACGAAUAAGGAUCGGCUAACUCCGUGCCAGCAGCCGCGGGAAUACGGAGGAUUCAAGCGUUAUCCGGAUUUAUUGGGUUGAAAGGGUGCGUAGGCGGUCGGAUAAAUUAGAGGUGAAAUGCCGUGGCUCAACUUCGGGAUUGCCUCUGAUACUGGUCGGCUAGAGAGUAGUAGCGGUAGGCGGAAUGUAAGGUGUAGCGGUGAAAUGCGUAGAGAU
RNAcentral lists this ribosomal RNA (362 nucleotides) under uncultured bacterium. Its description in RNAcentral is "partial 16S ribosomal RNA". It matches the Rfam family "Bacterial small subunit ribosomal RNA", at positions 338 to 697 of the family's 1533-position model. The record is from RNAcentral.